AGCAGUCGCCACGGUAAUACGGAGGGUGCAAGCGUUAAUCGGAAUUACUGGGCGUAAAGCGCACGCAGGCGGUCUGACAAGUCAGAUGUGAAAUCCCCGGGCUUAACCUGGGAACUGCAUUUGAAACUGUCAGGCUGGAGUCUUGUAGAGGGGGGUGGAAUUCCAGGUGUAGCGGUGAAAUGCGUAGAGAUCUGGAGGAAUACCGGUGGCGAAGGCGGCCCCCUGGACAAAGACUGACGCUCAGGUGCGAAAGCGUGGGGAGCAAACAGGAUUAGAUACCCGAGUAGUCCCUGUCUCUUAUAU
This 303-nucleotide ribosomal RNA is filed under the name uncultured bacterium. Its description in RNAcentral is "partial 16S ribosomal RNA". It matches the Rfam family "Bacterial small subunit ribosomal RNA", at positions 507 to 809 of the family's 1533-position model. The record is from RNAcentral.